This 374-nucleotide ribosomal RNA is filed under the name uncultured prokaryote. RNAcentral's name for it is "bacterial SSU rRNA". It matches the Rfam family "Bacterial small subunit ribosomal RNA", at positions 524 to 896 of the family's 1533-position model. The record is from RNAcentral.
UACAGAGGUCCCAAGCGUUGUUCGGAUUCACUGGGCGUAAAGGGUGCGUAGGCGGCCGUGUAAGUCUGUCGUGAAAUCUUCAAGCUUAACUUGGAAACUGCGUCGGAUACUACUCGGCUCGAGGAAUGGAGGGGAGACUGGAAUACUUGGUGUAGCAGUGAAAUGCGUAGAUAUCAAGUGGAACACCAGUGGCGAAGGCGAGUCUCUGGACAUUUCCUGACGCUGAGGCACGAAAGCCAGGGGAGCAAACGGGAUUAGAUACCCCGGUAGUCCUGGCCCUAAACGGUGCACGUUUGCUGUAAGAGGAUUCGACCCCUUUUGUGGCGAAGCUAACGCGUUAAACGUGCCGCCUGGGAAGUACGGCCGCAAGGUUA